GUGGGGAAUAUUGGACAAUGGGCGAAAGCCUGAUCCAGCCAUGCCGCGUGAGUGAUGAAGGCCUUAGGGUUGUAAAGCUCUUUCUGUAGGGAAGAUAAUGAUGGUACCUACAGAAGAAGCCCCGGCUAACUUCGUGCCAGCAGCCGCGGUAAUACGAAGGGGGCUAGCGUUGUUCGGAUUUACUGGGCGUAAAGCGCACGUAGGCGGAUUGGUCAGUUAGAGGUGAAAUCCUGGAGCUCAACUCCAGAACUGCCUUUAAUACUGCCAGUCUAGAGUCCAGAAGAGGUGAGUGGAACUCCUAGUGUAGAGGUGGAAUUCGUAGAUAUUAGGAAGAACACCAGUGGCGAAGGCGGCUCACUGGUCUGGUACUGACGCUGAGGUGCGAAAGCGUGGGGAGCAAACAGGAUUAGAUACCCGGGUAGUCC
This 425-nucleotide ribosomal RNA is filed under the name uncultured bacterium. RNAcentral describes it as "partial 16S ribosomal RNA". It matches the Rfam family "Bacterial small subunit ribosomal RNA", at positions 354 to 796 of the family's 1533-position model. The record is from RNAcentral.